Molecule: transfer RNA, 76 nt
Filed under: Rhizobacter koreensis
Lineage: Bacteria; Pseudomonadati; Pseudomonadota; Betaproteobacteria; Burkholderiales; Sphaerotilaceae
Description: Piscinibacter koreensis tRNA-Pro
Rfam family: tRNA
About the family: Transfer RNA (tRNA) molecules are approximately 80 nucleotides in length. Their secondary structure includes four short double-helical elements and three loops (D, anti-codon, and T loops).
Source: RNAcentral
CUCGGUGUAGCUCAGAUGGCAGAGCGCGUGGUUAGGGACCACGAGGCCGCAGGUUCGAUGCCUGCCGCCGAGACCA